UAUAUUUAAUCUGUUUAUAUUUACACAAAUCUGCAUUUAUAUUUAACAGUUUUUCCCCCCAGUUCCUUCUUUGUCUAUGACCGUCAGCUUUCUCUGUUUCUUUCUUGUUCAGUAGUAUUCUCAGAUAAUCUCUAGGAAGACGAUAUCUUCUUGAACAAGCAAUGUCAUGUGGCUGCACAUAAUCUUGUAUGUAUGAAAAGCCUGAUCAAGAUGGACUUGGAAGGAUGCCUUGCGAUUCUUUGAAGGACCUGUGGAUCACCAAGUGAUUUUUGUGACUUUUUGCCUGCUUUGGGGAACUUGCGGUGCCUUGAUAUUUUGGAAAUAAGGUGGAUGGGAUGUGUGAAAAAGGUGUGGGAGUUGAAUUUUUAGUACCGCAGCAGACAUCAUCAUUUUCAUUCUGAAACUGGAACAACUUUUGUUUCAAGAUAUAAGGGUGUGAGAAGAAUGAGAAGGAAGAGAAGAUCAGAACUGAUGAUGGCAACGGGCUCUGCUAUUCUCAUCCACCUCUUCUUGCUAAAUUGGAAGAUCGUCUUAGAGAAGCAAUGUCAAGUGGUUACAUCCAGCUUUUGCAGUCGUACGCCCAACACCACAUAAUCUUCUAUCUGUCAAACUUGAGUUGUAGAAGAAAUAGUGCAAUUACUGCUCUUGGCAAUGACUGCUACCUUACUUGUAUAACCUGAUCAAGAUGGACUUGGAAAGCUACCCUGCGAUUCGUGAGAGACUUGUUCAUCACCAAGCGUAUAUGUACUCAUUGGAAAAGUUAUGUUUCUGUCAUGCCUUCUAAACCUGGCUUAAAAUUGUAACCCAAAACAGUAUAUUGUCCUUUAAUCUCUCGCAUCCUUCCAUGUGAAUGCAGGGGUGACAGGAUUGAAACCUUCAAAAUCUCAUUUCACCGGAAGCAUUAAUGGCGGCAGGAUUGAAACAUUCAAAAUCUCUCGCACCCUUCCUUUAAUUGUUUCCAUUUGAGAACUUUGAAGAUCAAUUUAAGUGACCUGAGCAGUUCCCGGAAGUAUUAAUUAGUAGUCUG
Non-coding RNA from Prunus mume (Japanese apricot), 1027 nucleotides. NCBI's taxonomy places the organism in Eukaryota, Viridiplantae, Streptophyta, Magnoliopsida, Rosales, Rosaceae. The record is from RefSeq and is a predicted model, not a curated record.